GAAAUAUGCAUAUACAAAGUUUAUUGAAGGACGGACAGAGAACAUGAAGAUCCAGAACCCUGCAGAAUCAAACACACUGAAGAACAAACAGAUCAAAUGGAGGAGAAAAUACAUCAAAACUGGA
Molecule: long non-coding RNA, 124 nt
Organism: Cyprinus carpio (common carp)
Lineage: Eukaryota; Metazoa; Chordata; Actinopteri; Cypriniformes; Cyprinidae
Exons: 2
Source: RefSeq, a predicted model, not a curated record